UGAGAUUUCCCAUUUCUUCGGAAAGUAAGAUCCCUGAAAGAUGAUCAGGUAGAUAGGUUUGGAGUGGAAGUGUAGCGAUACAUGGAGCGGACAAAUACUAAUCGAUCGAGGACUUAACCAAAA
RNAcentral lists this ribosomal RNA (123 nucleotides) under Listeria monocytogenes. RNAcentral's name for it is "partial 23S ribosomal RNA". It matches the Rfam family "Bacterial large subunit ribosomal RNA", at positions 2805 to 2925 of the family's 2925-position model. Lineage: Bacteria; Bacillati; Bacillota; Bacilli; Caryophanales; Listeriaceae. The record is from RNAcentral.